This 425-nucleotide ribosomal RNA is filed under the name uncultured bacterium. RNAcentral describes it as "bacterial SSU rRNA". It matches the Rfam family "Bacterial small subunit ribosomal RNA", at positions 356 to 773 of the family's 1533-position model. The record is from RNAcentral.
GGGGAAUCUUGCGCAAUGCGCGAAAGCGUGACGCAGCAACACCGCGUGAGGGAAGACGGCCUUCGGGUUGUAAACCUCUUUCAGGAGGGACGAAGGGCGACCGGUGAACAGCCGUGUCGCUUGACGGUACCUCCAGAAGAAGCACCGGCUAACUACGUGCCAGCAGCCGCGGUAAUACGUAGGGUGCAAGCGUUGUCCGGAAUCAUUGGGCGUAAAGCGCGCGUAGGCGGCCCGAUAAGUCCGCUGUAAAAGUCAACGGCUCAACUGUUGAAAGCCGGUGGAUACUGUCGGGCUAGAGUACGGAAGAGGCAAGUGGAAUUCCUGGUGUAGCGGUGGAAUGCGCAGAUAUCAGGAGGAACACCUAUAGCGAAGGCAGCUUGCUGGGACGUUACUGACGCUGAGGCGCGAAAGCGUGGGGAGCGAAC